RNAcentral lists this ribosomal RNA (203 nucleotides) under Enterococcus faecium. Its description in RNAcentral is "partial 16S ribosomal RNA". It matches the Rfam family "Bacterial small subunit ribosomal RNA", at positions 1 to 203 of the family's 1533-position model. The record is from RNAcentral. RNAcentral also lists the same sequence under 1 other name. Lineage: Bacteria; Bacillati; Bacillota; Bacilli; Lactobacillales; Enterococcaceae.
UUUUAUGAGAGUUUGAUCCUGGCUCAGGACGAACGCUGGCGGCGUGCCUAAUACAUGCAAGUCGUACGCUUCUUUUUCCACCGGAAAAAGAGGAGUGGCGAACGGGUGAGUAACACGUGGGUAACCUGCCCAUCAGAAGGGGAUAACACUUGGAAACAGGUGCUAAUACCGUAUAACAAUCGAAACCGCAUGGUUUUGAUUUG